RNAcentral lists this ribosomal RNA (513 nucleotides) under Campylobacter coli. Its description in RNAcentral is "bacterial SSU rRNA". It matches the Rfam family "Bacterial small subunit ribosomal RNA", at positions 1017 to 1533 of the family's 1533-position model. The record is from RNAcentral. RNAcentral also lists the same sequence under 1 other name. Lineage: Bacteria; Pseudomonadati; Campylobacterota; Epsilonproteobacteria; Campylobacterales; Campylobacteraceae.
CUUGCUAGAACUUAGAGACAGGUGCUGCACGGCUGUCGUCAGCUCGUGUCGUGAGAUGUUGGGUUAAGUCCCGCAACGAGCGCAACCCACGUAUUUAGUUGCUAACGGUUCGGCCGAGCACUCUAAAUAGACUGCCUUCGUAAGGAGGAGGAAGGUGUGGACGACGUCAAGUCAUCAUGGCCCUUAUGCCCAGGGCGACACACGUGCUACAAUGGCAUAUACAAUGAGACGCAAUACCGCGAGGUGGAGCAAAUCUAUAAAAUAUGUCCCAGUUCGGAUUGUUCUCUGCAACUCGAGAGCAUGAAGCCGGAAUCGCUAGUAAUCGUAGAUCAGCCAUGCUACGGUGAAUACGUUCCCGGGUCUUGUACUCACCGCCCGUCACACCAUGGGAGUUGAUUUCACUCGAAGCCGGAAUACUAAACUAGUUACCGUCCACAGUGGAAUCAGCGACUGGGGUGAAGUCGUAACAAGGUAACCGUAGGAGAACCUGCGGUUGGAUCACCUCCUUUCUAG